This 253-nucleotide ribosomal RNA is filed under the name uncultured bacterium. Its description in RNAcentral is "partial 16S ribosomal RNA". It matches the Rfam family "Bacterial small subunit ribosomal RNA", at positions 524 to 776 of the family's 1533-position model. The record is from RNAcentral.
UACGAAGGUCCCGAGCGUUAUCCGGAUUUAUUGGGUUUAAAGGGUGCGUAGGCGGGUUAUUAAGUCAGUGGUGAAAGCCUUCAGCUCAACUGAAGAAUUGCCAUUGAUACUGAUGAUCUUGAGUACGAUUGAGGUAGGCGGAAUGUGUCAUGUAGCGGUGAAAUGCUUAGAUAUGACACAGAACACCGAUUGCGAAGGCAGCUUACUAAGUCGUAACUGACGCUGAUGCACGAAAGCGUGGGGAGCAAACAGG